RNAcentral lists this ribosomal RNA (1234 nucleotides) under Methylococcus capsulatus. It matches the Rfam family "Bacterial small subunit ribosomal RNA", at positions 1 to 1375 of the family's 1533-position model. The record is from RNAcentral. Lineage: Bacteria; Pseudomonadati; Pseudomonadota; Gammaproteobacteria; Methylococcales; Methylococcaceae.
ACCVGAGAGUCGACCUGGCUCAGAUCGAACGCUGGCGGCAUGCNAACACAUGCAAGUCGAACGGUAACAGCGCNUCCAGGGCGCUGCGAGUGGCGGACGGGUGAGUUAAUGCGUAGGAAUCURCCUUGUUGUGGGGGAUAACUCGGGGAAACCCRAGCUAAUACCGCAUACGCCUCACGGAGGAAAGCGGGGGAUCUUCGGACCUCGCGCAAUAAGAUGAGCCUACGUCGGAUUAGCUAGNUNGUGGGGUNAAGGCCNACCAACGCGACGAUCCNNAGCUNGUCUGAGAGGACGAUCAGCCACACUNCNACUGAGAGACGAUCCAGNCUCUACGGAGGCAGCAGUGGGAAUAUUGGACAAUGGGCGCAAGCCUGAUCCAGCAAUGCCGCGUGUGUGAGAGAAGGCUNCGGGUUGUNAAGCACUUUAAGCAGGGAAGAAGGGUGGGGUGUUAAUACCAUCUCACAUUGACGUUACCUGCAGAAUAAGCACCGGCUAGCUCGGUGCCAGCAGCGCGUAAUACGAGNGUGCAAGCGUUAAUCGGAAUUACUGGGCGUAAAGCCACGUUAUCANUUUCAUAAGUCUCRAUGUVAACCUNGGCNNAACMUMNNAACNCAUANAUACUCGCUAUCUAGGUAGUGGAUUCGAGUGUAGAGUGCAAUGCGUAGAGAUCCGAGAACACCAGUGCGAAGGCGGCUCCUUGGACCAACACUGACGCUGAGGUGCGAAAGCGUGGGGAGCAAACAGGAUAGAUACCCUNGUAGUCCACGCUGUAAACGAUGUCAACUAGCCGUUGGAGGGGUUNAACCNNUUAGUGGCGCAGCUAACGCGAUAAGUUGACNGCCUGGGGAGUACGGCCGCAAGGUUAAAACUCUAAAUGAAUUGUACGGGGCCGCACUAAGCGGGGAGUCAUGUNGAUUUAAUUCGAUNAACGCGAAGAACCUUACCUGGCCUUGACAUGCUUGGAAUCCUGCAGAGAUGCGGGGUGCUUCGGGAGCCAAGACACAGGUACUGCAUGGCUNUCGUCAGCUCGUGUCGUGAGAUGUUGGGUUAAUUAGCCUUAUGGCUUAGGGCUWCGCUACAGAGCUGGUACAGUGGGUGACGUAGCCGUCAGGGUUGGUAGCCUAAGAGCUAAUCUCCAGAAAGCUCUUAGUCCGGAUUGCAGUCUGCAACUCGACUGCAUGAAGUCGGAAUCGCUAGUAAUCGCGGAUCAGCAUGCUGCGGUNAAUACGUUCCC